AUCCGCUGCCGCAACUCCGUCGCCGCCUGCGCCGCUGCCUCCGCCCCCACAUCGAGCAAGGACGCCACUGCCUCGUCCGCUCCGCUGCCACAACUCCGCCACCUCCACGUCGCAGAAGGCCCCUUCCCAUUCGGUCGGGCACGCCCCCACCAGCUCGGCCCUGUCCUGCGCUGCCGUAAUCCUCUGUUGCUGUUGUCUUAGGAUGUGGUAGCAGGUUCAGUUUUCACACAUGGAUGGUCAAGGCGUUGGCGAGGAGCGUGAAGAGUAUCGCCUCAUGAUUAGCAAGACCUUGAGAAGUGAGGAGGAAGGAUAUCAGUUCUGCAAUGAGUAUCGGAUGAGACCACUACCUCGUGUAUAUGGCCGCAUGAGAUUUAACUAAAUUUGUGUUACAAUUCAACUUUCUGAUGAAUGAUGUUGGUCAGGUGAUGGUCUGUGCAAGUUGAGUUUUGUAAGACUACUGUCUGAUUGUGCUUCGGCGGAGUCAUCAUUCCAGAAAAGGGCUGGCAUGUGUACAUAUGUACCAUUCACAUAGAAAUUAGCUUAUUCUGUGAUAUACUUCCAGAAUUUUGAGCAAUCAGAUGAGUUUGCAUCCUGUAUUAGAAGGAUUGUGUGUGAUGUAUACUGUUGUAAAUGAUUGUAACCACAUUGUUUUGCUCAUGAAUAAAGUUAUCUCUGUGAGUUGUGAGAAAUUUUGUA
Long non-coding RNA from Lolium rigidum, 696 nucleotides. RefSeq lists it as uncharacterized. The record is from RefSeq and is a predicted model, not a curated record. The transcript has 2 exons. NCBI's taxonomy places the organism in Eukaryota, Viridiplantae, Streptophyta, Magnoliopsida, Poales, Poaceae.